GUCAACUGCCAUACCACCCUGAAUGUGUCCGAUCUCGUCUGAUCUCGGAAGCUAAGCAGGGUCAGCCUGGUUAGUACUUGGAUGGGAGACAAUGAGAGACACUGUUCUGCAGCUCCCU
Molecule: ribosomal RNA, 118 nt
Filed under: Chinchilla lanigera (long-tailed chinchilla)
Lineage: Eukaryota; Metazoa; Chordata; Mammalia; Rodentia; Chinchillidae
Source: RNAcentral